GCAAACUUGGUCAUUUAGAGGAAGUAAAAGUCGUAACAAGGUUUCCGUAGGUGAACCUGCGGAAGGAUCAUUACAAGAGUGUUGAACCCCUCUGUAAAAAGGGGGGUUUACCUCCCGUCCUCUGCUGGUCCUUUUAGGGGCUUUUUUGACUUUACUUUGGCGGGGUAACCUGCCAGAGAACCCUCAAAAUUCUUUUCUAAAAUUGUUCUGUCCGAGAAUUUUUGAAAAAUAAAAAAAAACUUUCAACAACGGAUCUCUUGGUUCUGGCAUCGAUGAAGAACGCAGC
RNAcentral lists this unclassified non-coding RNA (286 nucleotides) under uncultured fungus. RNAcentral describes it as "partial contains small subunit ribosomal RNA, internal transcribed spacer 1, and 5.8S ribosomal RNA". The stretch from base 1 to 73 matches the Rfam family "Eukaryotic small subunit ribosomal RNA", at positions 1759 to 1831 of the family's 1831-position model. Lineage: Eukaryota; Fungi. The record is from RNAcentral.